This 73-nucleotide transfer RNA is filed under the name Candidatus Micrarchaeota archaeon CG1_02_49_24. RNAcentral describes it as "tRNA-Pro". It matches the Rfam family "tRNA". Rfam says of the family: Transfer RNA (tRNA) molecules are approximately 80 nucleotides in length. Their secondary structure includes four short double-helical elements and three loops (D, anti-codon, and T loops). Further hydrogen bonds mediate the characteristic L-shaped molecular structure. tRNAs have two regions of fundamental functional importance: the anti-codon, which is responsible for specific mRNA codon recognition, and the 3' end, to which the tRNAs corresponding amino acid is attached (by aminoacyl-tRNA synthetases). tRNAs cope with the degeneracy of the genetic code in two manners: having more than one tRNA (with a specific anti-codon) for a particular amino acid; and 'wobble' base-pairing, i.e. permitting non-standard base-pairing at the 3rd anti-codon position. RNAcentral also lists the same sequence under 3 other names. The record is from RNAcentral. Lineage: Archaea; Nanobdellati; Microcaldota.
GGGGUCGUGGGGUAACCUGGCAUCCUUCCGGCUUGGGGUGCCGGCGAUCUGUGUUCAAAUCACAGCGACCCCA